UUUAGUAAUUUUCAUUUUUAUUUUAUCAUACCGUACUAUCUAACCAAACAAAAAAAAGUUAUUAAACCAUCUUAUACCAUACAAUUUUUCCAAAUGUGUUAAUAAUAAAAACUGUACCAUACAAUACGAUACGAUACGAUGUAUUAAUAAACUACGUUGUACUCAAUGCCAACAGGGUGUUAGGAAUCGUAGGGGUGGUUAGUUUGUGGUAGAGAAAAGAACAAUUAUGAUAAGAGUUUAGAAUUGCAGGGUAGAAAUGAGAGAAAAAACACUGAAUUGUAUAUUGACAACUUCUGAAAUUACAACUAAUAUCUGGUAUAUCGUUCUUACUUAGCUAAUCAUAAAAAGAAAGAAAAAGAUAACAAAAUGACCAACAAUGGCCCCAGGAAAUAUCCCCAAGCAGAACACUUUGCCUUUAACCAGAAAAAUGGACUCAAAAAGCAUGUCCCUUAUUUCCAUAACUCCCUCCAUACAUAUAUUGUUUCUCUAGUAUAACAAACUCUAGCUCACACCUCACGUGUUCCCUCCUCUCUCCUGUUAUUUUUUUUCCUUAAAUCUUCUACAAUAAACCUCGAAGGGUCUCUGGGCUUGGGCCUCAUUUUGAGCUUAUUUUGACCGCCCUCCAAUUGCUGCCUAUCAGUUUGCUUUUAAGAUGAUGAUGAUUUUAAUGGUUAACAAUAUCUUGGUGGUGGUUCAUAUUUUUAAGGAAUGGUAACAGCCAACUGUCAAACUUUUAUGUUACUGUGACCUGAAAACAGUGAAAGUUCACACACACGCGCACUCAUGUUUCUAUUACAACAACUGGAAUACCCAUCGUUUUGUUACAUAUGCAAUGCAUGCAAUACUAGAAAUAGGGGUUUUGUUGGAAGGAAAUUUUGUGCUAUCUUCUGUGACUUAAAAUCUUAAUAUAAUAAUACUAGUUGUUUUCUGGAAAAGUUUGCAAUUCUAUGACUGCUGCUUGGCCAUAAUUUGAUGUGAUGCGGCAGUAACUACCUAAAUGUAGAAAAGCCUAGAUGGUGUGCCAACCCUUGGAAGGCACUGGCAGCCAGUUGCCUGCAUGUAUGUGGGGAUGACGGAUUUGCAUCCUUUCCUUUAUGGCUUUCCUAUUUGUGUGACCUGCAUUUUCUUCCACAGCCAUUGUGAGCCAAACCUGAUGGUUUUUCCUUGCUGUUUUAGAACUUUUGUUUCUGCUACUAAAUUCAUGUAGUGAAAAGUAAGAACCAAAAGAACCACUUGAUGCAUUGGAAUGCAACCAUGUUAUUUAAUGUUGUUUCUAGACACGAGAUUAUUUUUAUCUGCAUUGUUUGAAAUGGCAUUGUUCUUGGACUUUUCUUUGGGUGUUGUUUUGUACACUUUGCUAUCCACACUUUUUUUUUUUCCUGGG
Molecule: unclassified non-coding RNA, 1384 nt
Filed under: Hevea brasiliensis (rubber tree)
Lineage: Eukaryota; Viridiplantae; Streptophyta; Magnoliopsida; Malpighiales; Euphorbiaceae
Source: RNAcentral